GACGAACGCUGGCGGCGUGCUUAAUACAUGCAAGUCGAGCGAGGUCCAUCUGGUGGCAACACCAGUGAAGGCCGAGCGGCGAACGGGUGAGUAACACGUGAGCAACCUGCCCCGAAGUCUGGAAUAACAUCGGGAAACCGGUGCUAAUACCGGAUCGCCCCACCUGACCGCAUGAUCGGGUGAGGAAAGAUUUAUCGCUUCGGGAGGGGCUCGCGGCCUAUCAGCAGUUGGUGGGGUAACGGCCUACCAAGGCAUCGACGGGUAGCUGGUCUGAGAGGACGACCAGCCACACUGGGACUGAGACACGGCCCAGACUCCUACGGGAGGCAGCAGUAGGGAAUCUUGCGCAAUGGGCGAAAGCCUGACGCAGCAACGCCGCGUGGGGGAUGACGGCC
RNAcentral lists this ribosomal RNA (395 nucleotides) under uncultured bacterium. RNAcentral's name for it is "bacterial SSU rRNA". It matches the Rfam family "Bacterial small subunit ribosomal RNA", at positions 28 to 416 of the family's 1533-position model. The record is from RNAcentral.